RNAcentral lists this ribosomal RNA (492 nucleotides) under uncultured bacterium. Its description in RNAcentral is "partial 16S ribosomal RNA". It matches the Rfam family "Bacterial small subunit ribosomal RNA", at positions 29 to 507 of the family's 1533-position model. The record is from RNAcentral.
AGUGAACGCUGGCGGUAGGCCUAACACAUGCAAGUCGAACGGCAGCACAGUAAGAGCUUGCUCUUACGGGUGGCGAGUGGCGGACGGGUGAGGAAUACAUCGGAAUCUACUUUUUCGUGGGGGAUAACGUAGGGAAACUUACGCUAAUACCGCAUACGACCUACGGGUGAAAGCAGGGGAUCUUCGGACCUUGCGCGAUUGAAUGAGCCGAUGUCGGAUUAGCUAGUUGGCGGGGUAAAGGCCCACCAAGGCGACGAUCCGUAGCUGGUCUGAGAGGAUGAUCAGACACACUGGAAAUGAGACACGGUCCAGACUCCUAAGGGAGGCAGAAGUGGGGAAUAUUGGACAAUGGGCGCAAGCCUGAUCCAGCCAUACCGCGUGGGUGAAGAAGGCCUUCGGGUUGUAAAGCCCUUUUGUUGGGAAAGAAAAGCAGCAGGUUAAUACCCCGCUGUUCUGACGGUACCCAAAGAAUAAGCACCGGCUAACUUCGUG